GGGGGCGUACCGGUUUCGACGGGGGUAGUGAGGCUGGAAUAGCGGGCCGUGGCGCCUGGCCACGAUAAAACGGGCAACUUUUUAAAAUUAACUGACAACAAUCAGUACGCACUGGCUGCCUAAUUAGGCGCCCAUCCGCCCCGGAAGGUCCACGAGCCGGGCUCGGGUGUGAUUUGAGUGGAGACCGUGCGUGCGGUAAGCUUUGCCCGCACCAUGCAUCAUGAAGCUACCAAAUCCGGCAGGGUGUCCGUUCCCGUCCGGAUGAGGGAAUGUAAAUAACGGACUGCGCCCGGAGAAGUUCCAGUCAAGUUGCUUUCGGACGGGAGUUCGACUCUCCCCGCCUCCACCA
RNAcentral lists this transfer-messenger RNA (349 nucleotides) under Oscillospiraceae. RNAcentral describes it as "Faecousia sp003525905 Standard tmRNA". It matches the Rfam family "transfer-messenger RNA". From Rfam's summary of the family: Bacterial tmRNA, also known as 10Sa RNA or SsrA, is named for its dual tRNA and mRNA-like properties. Its role is to liberate the mRNA from a stalled ribosome. Lineage: Bacteria; Bacillati; Bacillota; Clostridia; Eubacteriales. RNAcentral also lists the same sequence under 3 other names. The record is from RNAcentral.